Molecule: unclassified non-coding RNA, 298 nt
Filed under: uncultured Eimeria
Lineage: Eukaryota; Apicomplexa; Conoidasida; Eucoccidiorida; Eimeriidae
Description: sequence contains ITS2
Source: RNAcentral
AUAUUCGGCUGUAGGCUGUAAUAUGCUGUGGUGGUUUCUUUUGCUCGUCGCGAAGGAUUCUUUUCCGUUGCGUCGUGUGAAGUUUAUUCGAGUCUCAGACUUGGUUUUAAUCGAUAUUCCUUAUCCUUCCGUCCAGGAAAGAGAUACGGUGGCUCGGAGCAUGCUACUGGUGCAUAUCUCGCGUAUAGUGGACGUCAGAAUGAGUGGGAUAAAUGGGGCUGCUGCGGCUGGUGCGAGCUAUGCCGCACCCUGGGAGUGUCGAUUUUUUAUACCUUGAUCUCCAUUUCAUCAGGAUACA